This 253-nucleotide ribosomal RNA is filed under the name uncultured bacterium. Its description in RNAcentral is "partial 16S ribosomal RNA". It matches the Rfam family "Bacterial small subunit ribosomal RNA", at positions 524 to 776 of the family's 1533-position model. The record is from RNAcentral.
UACGGAGGGUGCAAGCGUUAUCCGGAUUCACUGGGUUUAAAGGGUGCGUAGACGGGCAGGUAAGUCCGUGGUGAAAUCUCUGAGCUUAACUCAGAAACUGCCAUGGAUACUAUUUGUCUUGAAUGUUGUGGAGGUAAGCGGAAUAUGUCAUGUAGCGGUGAAAUGCUUAGAUAUGGCAUAGAACACCAAUUGCGAAGGCAGCUUACUACACAAAUAUUGACGCUGAGGCACGAAAGCGUGGGGAUCAAACAGG